RNAcentral lists this transfer RNA (73 nucleotides) under Apaloderma vittatum (bar-tailed trogon). It matches the Rfam family "tRNA". From Rfam's summary of the family: Transfer RNA (tRNA) molecules are approximately 80 nucleotides in length. Their secondary structure includes four short double-helical elements and three loops (D, anti-codon, and T loops). The record is from Rfam by way of RNAcentral. Lineage: Eukaryota; Metazoa; Chordata; Aves; Trogoniformes; Trogonidae.
GGCCAAAUAGCUCAGUCAGUUGACCGUGGUGCUAACAACGCCAAGGUCAUGGGUUCGAUUCCCGUUCGGUCCC